Long non-coding RNA from Urocitellus parryii (Arctic ground squirrel), 480 nucleotides. RefSeq lists it as uncharacterized. The record is from RefSeq and is a predicted model, not a curated record. Lineage: Eukaryota; Metazoa; Chordata; Mammalia; Rodentia; Sciuridae.
AAGCCCUCCCCCACAAAGGGCGGCCAAGGCCAUAGGACAGUCCUUGCCUGCUGCUUCCGCUUCUAUAGCGAUGGCUGCUCUGGCCCUAAAAGAUUGUCCAGGGUGCUCCUCUUGGGAGUAAUCUGCCAUGUUUGCUUCCUACUGCCACAGCCCAGUGGAGUACUUUCUCAGCCAACACUUGGGAAGCACAGGAGCGAACGAGGGAUCUGUCCUGGAAUGAGAGGGCCACCCUGCUCUAACAUUCUGCUGUUGUGUUCGAAGCAGGCUCAAGUCAUCAUGAGUCUUACAGCUGAUGGCUUGGGAUCAUCUGCCCAGGGGAAACUCCAGUGUCUCUGUGUGCCUUAGACAACAGGGCUCGUGGAGCUUGGUGGGCAGCUGACCUGGAUGAAUGAGGGAGAAGAGCCACAGGAGCCAAGAGAAACGGCGGUUUACCUGCGUCUGGAUCCGGUUGAGGCCCCGGAACCAGAGGAUCUGGCCCCU